AUUUUUUUAGUAUAUCAAGUAUAUAUGACUUCCAAUCAUAAGGACUAGAACCUCUAGAAAAAAUA
This 65-nucleotide transfer RNA is filed under the name Coenobita perlatus. Its description in RNAcentral is "tRNA-Gly". The record is from RNAcentral. Lineage: Eukaryota; Metazoa; Arthropoda; Malacostraca; Decapoda; Coenobitidae.